Zonotrichia albicollis (white-throated sparrow) is the source of this 6713-nucleotide non-coding RNA. Lineage: Eukaryota; Metazoa; Chordata; Aves; Passeriformes; Passerellidae. The record is from RefSeq and is a predicted model, not a curated record.
GUGUGUGGGAAUUGCCCAUGGUGCUUGGAGAAGACUUGCUGAUUAAUGGGAUGAGUGCUCUUCUGCUGAUUACAUUUAUGGCUGCCUCCAGGGAACAUGUCCUAAGCCCUGGUUUUUCUGGCUUCUUGUUUCCCUGCCUCUUCCUGGCUGUCAUGUUGCAGACACAGUCUGUGAAUAGUGUCCUGACCAAGAACCUGGAGCACAUUCUUCCUGUUUCCUCCUCCAUGAACUGGUCAUGAGGAAGAAUUGUUGACUGUGUUACAACCUGCUCCAGAAGGAGAAGGGAUUGUCAUUGGAGGAGUUUGAUAUACACCUGCAGCUGUGCAUCAUCUCCAGCAGCAUGACUUUUGUGGCUUUCUGACCAACCAUAACCCAUUAAGCAUUGUGUGCCAGGAAAAGCUCUGCAGGGAACACAUCUUGUUCCCCAGCACCUCCUGUAAAAUGUCUAGUAUCCUACAAAUGAAUCAAGGACUCGGGAGGCAACUCCAUUCAAAUUUAAAAGUGCAUUCCCUUCAACUCCUGAAUUUGACCUGAAAAAUUCAACCAAAUUCCUGGUCCUGGUUCUCUGCAGAGACUUGGUGAGACGUUCCAGUUCAGGCCACUUUCUGCCCACAUCUGUUCCCCUGCAUCUGACCCUAUUGAUGCUGGUGCACUGGGCCACCACUGUGGGCCAGUUUGGACGCCCAGUGCAUGACAACAUCUGAUCUUAUGCCGCAUGGAAACAGAAGCAGGAUGGGAAUGACUGUUUCAGCAUGGCUGGAGAAGGUCUGUCCUCCUGCUGAAGGGACCAGACUCCUACUUCCUGACUGACCUAUGUUGCCAUCAGUUUUGGACAACAACGAGGACCAAAGUCCUCAUUUCAUACCCUCUUUUCCCUGCACUCCAUCACCAGUCUAUCAAGUCAUCCUUUACCUGAGUCCAAACUUCUGGCAAAGGCUCUGAGAUCCACAAAUGAGACCACCAAGCUGCCUAUUUUGUAGAAGAUGAAGGUUGAGGCUGAUGCUGGGAACAUGACCCCGCUGUGGAGUUCAGGGAGUCACAGACCUGGGACACCAAAUCCCCCUGGAGCCAUGUCCAGUCUCCCUUCCUGCUGCCUGCAGCAGUGAUGGAUCUCCAAGAGGUCAGUGAAUUGUACUGAGUCCAAGCACCUUCUAUUUAUUUCUCUGCCUUAGAUACUGCAUUUUCCUGAGCUGACAAUUGCCUAGUUCUGCCCCAGCAAACCUCCUUUUAUUUCUGUAGAGGCUUGCUGUAUAUUUUCAUUUUGCAAAUUAAUAUUAUUUAUUCCUGUCCUUAGUACUGAGCACAUUCAACUAUUUGAAACUUCCCCUGUACCAUUUGGUUGGCAGUGUGUCAGGUUGUCUUUAUCUUAUCAGGAUAGUAACUUCUCUCUGCUAUGAUGUGAUGUGUCCAUACAUAUAUAUCAGUGCGUUCAACUUGCCUGUUUCCCUUCUCACCAAUUUAAUUCUAACCUUACAGGUUAGGGCUGUUGCACAAACAACCUGGCCCUUCCGCUGUCUUUUAUGGUAAGACAGAGCAAUACAUGUCCAGGUUUUCCUAACAGAAGCCUGAGGAUAUUGGAUGUGCUUCACUACCAUGGUAAUAGUGAUGAUUUUUUAUGAUCUGCCCCAUUGUUCCCCUUCACUUGGAAAGUGAUCCUGAAAUGUACAGUUACACCAAACAUUGUCCUGACUCAAUCCAUGCAUGUCCUGAGAGCUGUUCAGGUUCUCAGGCGCCUGAUAUUGGUUUGGUGCAUCUAGCACCAUCCAUGCCCUGCUGCCAUGGGACACACUGUCCUAUGUCCAACAUACCCUGUUACCAUGUAAGUUCUUGGGUUUUUAACUUUUUUUCUUUUUAUAAACUCCCAUGUCACAUUUAGUAGUAGCACUGGAAAAUGCUGAUAUUUCUUAGGAUGAGAACAUUGCCAUCUGGUUUGGGAAGGCAGGUGUAUCUUCUCAGGAAAGAUGCUGAUAGCACCCUUAGACUAAAGGGACUGCAUGUAAAAGAAAGCAAAAACAUCCUGGGCUGAUUCAUCAAUGCCUGGCGGAAAUGUUCUCCUGUAAAUCCAGGAUCUCAGCAGGUUGGUGGAAGGGGAUGCAGGGUCUCCAGACCAGCCUCCCACCAGCAACAGGACAGUCUCUAGCACUGGCUUGGCAUGGCUAUGGCUUUGCCUAGAUAAACAGUGGAAAAUCCUAUCCUGCUCCUCUCUGUGGACUUGUCCCAGUUUCUCAAUGCCCUGCCUGGACCUACUGGAGCCACUGUCCCAGUAUGAAGCCACUGCCCUGAUAUCAUUAGUUUGGCUCUGUGCUCCUGCCCCAGGAGUGGCUGCUGCACUUCAUGGCAGGGCAAGGUGGAUGUGCCCAGACUUCCAUCCAGUGCCUGGGCUGGGCAGAGCUCAGAGGAGACAACCAGGCACCAGCCCUCGUAUAUCCCUGUGGCAGCCUCCCCACAGCUGCCACUUGUGUGAGCAGAAAUGAUUUAUGUUGAGUUUUCAUUUUGUUGUUUAGUAAAUCAGAAUUUGGAAAUCAGCAUGGUUUCUUGUGCGAGCCUCACUAAUGGCCGAGGUUAUCACAACAGCUAUAAAUCCCCCUCGAUUCUGGAUGGGAAAUUUCAUUAUUUCUCCUCUCUCCUCCCCUCCCUGGGCCAUGAGACCUGGCAGAGCCAUGGAAGAGAGGAGUUGAUUUAAUCCAGCUCUGGCUAAAACCAUCAACCAUGAAUCAUCAUCUGCUGGAGACCCUUUCUCUCACUGAGCCUUGACACCCAGGGAAGCUGUGCUGGCUGGUCUGUGAGCAGGAACUGCUUCCAAGGGCAGAGCACAGAGUGAGGCAAGGCACCUCCAGCCCUGACAAGGCCAGUUGCCAUGUAAGACAAGUGGUAGGAGUUAUGCUCAUCUACUUGUUUUGUCCCCUGCUGCUUCUCUCUGGGCACACACAAUGAUCAAGACAGUGUGGACAAUGAUGCUGGGAUACCACCAUGAACAGAUCCUCUAGGACUGGAAAAGGCUGUAAAAGGCCUUCAGCCAAUUCAGACAUGAGUAAAAACACUCAUUAAAAAAGACAGACCUAAAGGGAAUUCCUCUUCUCUCUCCUACUGCCCUCUCAUCUUUCUCUGUCUCCUGGGAGGGAUGUGUUUCCUCAGCACCCUGCUCCAUAGCUCCCACUACCCUGCUGCCUGCAUGCCUCCUCCUGCACCCCCUGAGCCCUAGUGUUGUCCUAAAGAGAUCUUCCAGGCCUUGCAGUCGACGUGUGAGGAGGACAUCUUCCUUCUUUCAGCAGCCCAAAGAAGUCAGUUUGCAACCUUCCCUUGCACUUGGAACACGGGACAAGCUGUGCUGUCUGUGUGAGGACACAAGAGCUGGUACAAAUUGCUGCUGAGACAAGAACUGCUGCACUGCAGCACAUCAGUGAGUCCCACAGCCUACUGCCUGAGUUACUCCCUGACACCUCAUUUUUGGGUAACAGAAGAGGGUGAGGUGGAGGGUACUCUCCUCCUUUCACUUCUUUUCUCUUGGGUAAUACUCUCAGUUGUCUGGGUAUUCUCAUCCCAAAAUCUCCUCCUUGCCUGCUUGCCCCACCAAGGCAGCCUCCCUCCUGGUGUCCCUGGUGCACUCCACUGCUGCUGACCCCCAGCCUCUCUGUCCCUCUGCCCCCCUACAGCCCAUGGGGUGGGCAGGACAGGACACAGGAGAGGGCGCAGCUCCGGAGAAGGGCACCCUGCUGGCUCUGUGAUGGCUUCAUAAUGUAUUCCAGAUUCCACCCAUUCCCAUCCCUGUCACGUCCUAUCAUUUCCCUGGUUAUUUUUGAUUGCUGCUGAGCACAGAUCUUCGUGUGCAUAUUUCUGUCAGUAGAUCAGUCAUUUCAUUCUUAUGUUCCUACACAAGUCUUGGAUGCCUCAUCGGUGCUCAGUGACUUAUUGCUCUUCAGCAUGUCAAUUUAUUCCAGCAUCUUCUUCUGAUAUCCCCAUUGCUCAUUUUAAAACCUAAAUGAGCUGAUCCAGAGUAGCUUUCUACCCCCACCUUCUAUGGGCCUGAACAAUCCAAAGAAACCCCUCAGCUUCCCAUUCCUACUUUUUGCCAUCACUCUAUGUUUCCCUCCCAGGAUUCUGCCUACAUCAGAUUUUAUGUAUUCUUAUGUCUUUUCAUUGCUUAUUUUUGUACCUUUUUAUUUUAUAACAUUUUUUGCCGUUUGCUCUGAUGAAAUCCCAUCGUAAUUCCCUUGUUAGGUAGCCCCUGGCAUGCUUUAUUUGUCUCUAUUGCCUGUACUAAGGCUGGAUUUCCUUUUUCUGAAGUGCCUCGUUUAGCUCAAAUACGCAACAAAACCCUGUCAUUUCAGCAAAUGUUGUUGAUUUUCUUUCCCACAUGGGCAUUUCUGCUUUUUCUCUUAACUUGUGCAGCCUUCAGAGCCUCAUUGAUGGGCACAUCCACAGCUUCCAUAUCAAAGCUAUGGCCUGAAAUGAAUUUGCCUUUAGGGCCCUUUAAAUGAACUUUCCUCAUUUAUUUAAUUUGAAGUUCCCACUUUCUAGCACUGAGCAGCCUCCAGCAGUUCUGGAGGCAGUUUUCUCCCCAAUGACUCUGGCUAAUAGCGUAGUGAUCACUGGAAGUUAAUGGCUCAUCACUGACAGCUUCUUGAGGUAAAACCUCUGUGCCACUUUGCGGCAGAAAUGACAAAAUAUCUGUUAAAAAAGCCCAAAUAAACAACCCAGGCAGUAGCCAUAACUCUGUAUGUUGCUGUCUGGUUCAUAUCAGUCAUCUCUGCCUGAACUAGAACCCAAACCCUUCAUACAGUAGUUGCUGUUAUUGCGGGGGAAAUGUUUUAUUAACAGACAUUACAGUCAAUUUUGAGAUACACAGAAGCUUAAUUUAGAAUUCAAAACUGUUUUGUCAGAUGGGUUAUGGAUUCCUUGCCUCCAAAAUAGACAUUAAAAUGGGGCUUGAAGCAGCAGACAUUCCCCCAAAUACUGCAAAUUCUCCAACUUUUCAAACCGGUGUAAACUUGAAAGCACAGCUAUACUUCUGGGCUGAAAUGUGUGUCUUAAAAGCAUCCCUUGCAAAAGUAUCCUCUGUGUUGUGUGGUGAGAAACUAUUCCCUAAAACAUGUCUCUCUGGGCUGUCCCUCGGAAUGCCUGGAUGCUGCAGGCCUUCUGCUGAGGACCUGCAGGCACGAUGCACCUCUGAUGCAUCCCCAGCUCGGGUGUAGCCUGGGUUGGCAUGUUUGGAGCGCCGCAUCCUGCCCAGGAUGCAUCGACCAAAGCAACUUCUCCCCACCGAGGGUUCUGCACACUCGCUCAUUUAUAAAUAACUCCAUCCCUGUGUCCCCACCGAGGGGACACCGCUCCUGCUGCCCUCAGCCCACAAACAGCCCCCGGCUAGGGCGGGCAGGCUGUGGCUUCAUCGGGACCGGCGCACGCAGCUCCCUGCCAGCCCCAGCCCGGAGACAGCAUUCCUCAGCCGGUAAGCCUCUGGCCCGAUGAAAAGCUCCAAUUCAGCUCCUGCACGGCGAGUACCUGACACCUUCCCCAGCACAAAGAGGGCUUUCUGCCGCACAGCCCGGCCGCGGCCGGGAAGCAGUGGCACAGCAGCUGCCUCUCGCCCAGAGGGGUCACCGAGCCACAUCCUGCACACACCCUGAACAAAACUCACUUGUCUUGGGGGGGCGGAGGAGAACAUAGCUCUGGGCAGGUGGCUGCCAGCCGGGCUUGUGGCUCCUGGUCUGCCAGACUUCUGGAUAGGAUGGUUCUCUCAAGUCUGCAAGCCUUGCUGAGGUCAGUGCAAUGCAGAGGCUUGAACUGUGAAGGUUUCAGGAUUGGCUCUGCAUCUCUGAGAGGCUCCUGUCUCUGAGCUGCUGACCUGGCCAGGCUCGCUGGGGUGACUGGUGUUCUCCCAUCUCUGUGCUCCUCCACAGCAAGCCCUGAGCUGGGAUGGAGCAGAUGGUCACACUAAGGUCACACUUGUAGGUCAGACAGGUUGGGCUGGGAGGUGAGUGGUAGUCUCAGCACUGAAACUGGGUUUGUGAGUGAUGGAGGAUAACUCAUUUUGGGAGGUAUCCACUGAAGAAGCACUGGAGAGUCUAUUAGUCUUCACACUAUCUUUGCUCUUUCCUUUCCCAGGAAAGAUCAAGUUGGAAGCAAUCACAGAAUUUCCCUCAUCCAGCAGUGCCUGAAGGCAAGCUGCAGUGUAUACCACAGACCCCAUAGGAUGCAAGUUACUCAGCUCAGAGACACUACAACAUUUCUGCUUUUCAGCUAGGGACUGUCAAAUGUGACGGGAGCAAUCCACCUCGGAGAAGAGGACUUUCAUGGGCAGGAGAAGAGGAUUUCCAUUUCAGGGCUUCCGUGUCUCAGCUGAGACUCAAAGCCUCCAGACUGCAGCCAGGGCCUCCCUGCCCAAUCUCUGCCUGUGCCUUGGAGACUGCCUUGUUCAUCAAUCGUCUCUGGUCCAAUGCUCUCAGUCUGGGAUAUUGGGAAGCUGCCCUGGCCCCCUCUCCAGCUUCCCUGUCCACCACAGGAGUAUUCUAGCCUUGCAAAUCCAUCUCUUGAUCCAGAUGCCUAAACCAAGACUGUGCAGUGCAGAGCAUUGCAGCAAACUGCCUCCUUCACCAUGAUCCUGUGAAACUCAGUGUGCAUGCUGGCUUCAGCUGGUGUCACAGGAUCAUGGAAUCAUUCAGGCUGGAAAAGCCCUGCACCAGUUCCAACCAUUAACCCAGCAUCAACAGGUCCAC